RNA transcript from Arvicola amphibius (Eurasian water vole), 2640 nucleotides. It is a transcript of the gene named S-phase kinase associated protein 2, with no coding region annotated. The transcript is spliced from 11 exons. The record is from RefSeq and is a predicted model, not a curated record. Lineage: Eukaryota; Metazoa; Chordata; Mammalia; Rodentia; Cricetidae.
GCAGUCUGUCGGCGUCGGAGAACCACAGUCCGAGGCGACCGCAGCGGUGGUCACCCGAAGGCCUGUGGGCGCGGGGAAAAGAAAAACCCUCACCCAGUCAAUCGGCUGACAUUUCCCAGUCAGUCUGAGCUCCGCCCACUUCCGCUCGCCCGUCCUCCACCCCCCCUUCCAUCCCCGUCCCGCCCUGCGCCGCGGGGGGUUGUGGGUAUCUGGAGGGCUGGGCAAAAAGAAGGAGGGAAUCUAGUCGGACAGCGAGCCACGCCCAGAACUACAAUUCCCAGCAGGCGACGGGGCGUCAGAAGGCGGCUGCCGGAGAGCGGGAUGCAGAACUCCGCGCGCGCGGUGGUGAUGGAACGUUACUAGUUCGCGGGUCCGGCUGUGGGGCCCCGUGGGGGGAAUCUCUCUGCGCCGCACGCUGGAGCGGGAGGCUGGGAGCAGACAGAUCUUCAAUUAAUGCACGCAUUCAAAACCCUUGAAUCCGUGGACGCAAUGCACAGGAAGCACCUUCAGGAGAUUCCGGACCAGAGUAGCAACGUCACCACCAGCUUCACGUGGGGAUGGGAUUCCAGCAAGACUUCUGAACUGCUCUCCGGCAUGGGUGUCUCUGCCUUGGAGAAAGAGGAGGUGGACAGUGAGAACAUUCCACAUGAACUGCUCUCAAACCUCGGCCACCCUCAGAGCCCCCCAAGGAAACGGCUAAAGAGCAAAGGCAGCGAAAAAGACUUUGUGAUCAUCCGUCGGCCUAAGCUCAAUCAAGAGAACUUUCCAGGUGUUUCCUGGGACUCCCUUCCAGACGAGCUGCUUCUUGGAAUCUUUUCCUGCCUAUGCCUCCCUGAGCUGCUGAGAGUCUCUGGGGUCUGCAAGAGGUGGUACCGCCUCUCGCUCGAUGAGUCUCUCUGGCAAUCCCUCGACCUCGCAGGUAAAAAUCUACACCCGGAUGUGACUGUCCGCUUGCUUUCUCGAGGGGUGAUCGCCUUCCGCUGCCCACGGUCGUUUAUGGAACAACCAUUGGGUGAAAGUUUCAGCUCUUUUCGUGUGCAGCACAUGGACUUGUCGAACUCAGUCAUAAAUGUGUCAAACCUCCAUGGGAUUCUGUCUGAGUGCUCCAAGUUGCAGAAUCUAAGCCUGGAAGGCCUACAGCUUUCGGAUCCCAUUGUCAACACUCUGGCCCAGAAUGAAAACCUGGUACGGCUGAACCUCUGCGGGUGCUCUGGGUUUUCCGAAUCUGCCGUGGCAACGCUGCUGAGCAGCUGCUGCAGACUGGAUGAGCUAAAUCUCUCCUGGUGCUUCGAGUUCACUGAAAAGCAUGUGCAAGCGGCCGUGGCGCAUCUGCCGGCGACCAUCACCCAGCUCAACCUCAGCGGCUACCGAAAGAACCUCCAGAAAACAGAUCUUUGUACCUUAAUUAAACGGUGCCCCAACCUCGUCCGCCUCGACUUAAGUGACAGUAUCAUGCUAAAGAAUGACUGCUUUCCAGAAUUUUUUCAACUCAACUACCUCCAACACCUCUCGCUCAGCCGGUGCUAUGAUAUAAUUCCUGAGACCCUACUUGAACUUGGAGAGAUCCCCACACUAAAGACCCUACAAGUUUUUGGAAUUGUGCCAGAUGCUACCCUGCAACUAUUGAGAGAAGCCCUUCCCCAUCUGCAGAUUAAUUGUGCCUACUUCACCACCAUUGCAAGGCCAACCAUGGACAACAAAAAGAACCCGGAGAUUUGGGGCAUCAAGUGCCGACUGACCCUACAAAAGCCCGGUUGUGUAUGAAGGGCUUGCUGCGGGGCGAUGUGGCCUCUUCCUCUCAAGUGAGGAACGCAGGCAGCAAAUCCAGUUGCUGGAGACCUUGGUUACCUUUCCCAUUGGUUUUACUUUAGCGCUCACUGUGCAUGUAUGUUAGGGAACCAUUUGCAAGGGAGAACUAUGAAGUGUUGGCGGUUUCGAGAAUAUAGAGAUGAUUGCGCCAGUGCUGUGCCCUCAGAGUCCAAGUGCUAGUUCUUUGGAAAUCUUGGGACUUGAAAUACUUUUAAGUGGUCUUUCACAGCGAUGGCUGGACACUGCCCAGAAGGUUACUGGAUCUCAAGUUCCCUAGGUAGAGCUGCUGCUUUCUCUCCGUCAGAAACGCUCGAGAAGCAGGUGUGUGCGCAGCUUCCAUGCACCUGGCAUGACCUGCGCUUCACCUAAGUUUUUAAGACUCACUGGGCAUUAAACCUUUUGAUAACAGAUGUACUUUUUAACACCUGAUACGCAGAAGCAAAAGGAUCAAAGUAUGCUUCUUAGACAAUGAAAAGAAAAUUAAGGCAGUUACCUCUUUUGAAUACGAUAGAGCCAAAAUACGUUUCUAUUAACUUUUUCAUCAAAGAAUCGUACUGUUACAACAAUAUGAAGUGCCUUUAUCUGCUCAGACCUAAAGAACAUUUUAAAAAGUGUAACACAGGAAUAAUUUUGCAUCAAUUGCCGAGUAGUUAAAGUGCUAACUACUACUUGAAACUAUUGUUUACAGAUUAGUGAGGGCUGACAGUGGGCUCUGGCUGGACUCUGGCCUCCAGCUGCCCUCAGACAUGCAGGACCUCUUCUUCCUUAUUCAAGUCCAGCUGGGAGCUAUUUUGCCAACAUGUCGCAGUAAUCUGUAUUUUUGUAUGUGAU